CCGAGAUAUGGGAGAUAGCCGGCCUAACGGCCGAGUAAUACCGCAUACGCUCUCGAUGAGGCAUUUCAUUGAGAGGAAACCUCCGGGGUAUUUCGAGGGGCUCGCGGCCUAUCAGCUAGUUGGCGAGGUAACGGCUCACCAAGGCAACGACGGGUAGCUGGUCUGAGAGGAUGGCCAGCCACAUUGGGACUGAGAUACGGCCCAGACUCCUACGGGAGGCAGCAGUGGGGAAUCUUGCGCAAUGGCCUAACGGCUGACGCAGCGACGCCGCGUGUGGGAUGAAGCUCUUCGGAGUGUAAACCACUGUUGCCCGGGACGAAUAGCUCGAUUUCUCGAGCCUGACAGUACCGGGUGAGGAAGCACCGGCUAACUCCGUGCCAGCAGCCGCGGUAAUACGGGGGGUGCGAGCGUUGUCCGGAAUCACUGGGCGUAAAGGGCGCGUAGGUGGUUUGAUAAGGGUGUGGUGAAAGUCCGGGGCUCAACCCCGGAUCUGCCGUGCCGACUGUCAAACUCGAGGACUGUAGAGGCAGACGGAAUUCCGGGUGUAGCGGUGGAAUGCGUAGAGAUCCGGAGGAAGACCGGUGGCGAAGGCGGUCUGCUGGGCAGUUUCUGACACUGAGGCGCGACAGCGUGGGGAGCAAACAGGAUUAGAUACCCUGGUAGUCCACGCCGUAAACGAUGGGUACUAGGUGCCUGGGGGAGCGACCCUCUGGGUGCCGGCGCUAACGCAGGAAGUAC
Molecule: ribosomal RNA, 738 nt
Filed under: uncultured Gemmatimonas sp.
Lineage: Bacteria; Pseudomonadati; Gemmatimonadota; Gemmatimonadia; Gemmatimonadales; Gemmatimonadaceae
Description: bacterial SSU rRNA
Rfam family: Bacterial small subunit ribosomal RNA
Source: RNAcentral